Molecule: long non-coding RNA, 533 nt
Filed under: Gallus gallus (chicken)
Lineage: Eukaryota; Metazoa; Chordata; Aves; Galliformes; Phasianidae
Source: RNAcentral
GUAUGUUUCAUGAGAUAUCCUGCUUGCUUUGUGCAUACUGACACCAAUUCCUAACAAGGAAAAUUUGGGCUGAACAUACUGAGGGAUGAUAUCAAGUGGACAAUCAGAAACAUCAAUUAAUGCAAAGCCUCAUUUAAUGCAACGGUAUUAUUACCUACAGGACUUGUUAUUCCUGAUUGUUUUAUGAUGUUACUGUUGUACACUGCGUGUGCCUGAUUCUGCUACAUGGGAUUUGAGAUGCAGAAAGAUUCUUCCACCCUCCAUUAUUCUCUCUCAGCAGUGGGAGUGAUCAUUAACACUGGACAAAGAAACUAGAAAAUCCCAUCCAUGCUGGUGAGAGCAUUCUCUGUUCACACUGAAAAGCAUCAGGGAUACGCCUUCGGAGGACACGUGCAUAGGACCAAACAACAACCACACAGGAGAAGAAAAGCAGUCUUUGCCUUGGGAAUACAGAGAGUACUUUGUCUUAAUGGCAGUGAUUGCCUGGCAUGGAAGGACCUGGGGGAAGACAGAACACUGAAGGUGGCUGGCAG